CCAGACUCAUCCAUCCCACCUCCAGAAAGUGUUGCUAGAGACACAGGUCCUAUUGUCUGAUUAAGACCAUAUUCUGCUACAGCCUUAUAUGCCAUGUCAGUAGCUCGCCGUAUAUCAUCCAGUGCACCUGUUGAGACACGACCUGAAUACAGAACUUCUUCCGCUGCACGUCCUCCAAGAAGAGUAACCAAGCGACCACGUAACUCAUCAAUAAAGAGCAAAUAUCUAUCCUCAUUUGUUGGCGGUAUAUAAGUAAAACCCAAUGCCCCUCCUGAUCUUGGCAAUAUGCU
Molecule: unclassified non-coding RNA, 290 nt
Filed under: Hevea brasiliensis (rubber tree)
Lineage: Eukaryota; Viridiplantae; Streptophyta; Magnoliopsida; Malpighiales; Euphorbiaceae
Source: RNAcentral